This is a long non-coding RNA of Halichondria panicea, 630 nucleotides long. RefSeq lists it as uncharacterized. Lineage: Eukaryota; Metazoa; Porifera; Demospongiae; Suberitida; Halichondriidae. The transcript has 4 exons. The record is from RefSeq and is a predicted model, not a curated record.
ACUUUUUUUUUUACAGUGUGUACGUGUAUGCACACACUGCAUGCCUAUCAGUCUCUACAUACCUGCCUUUCUACUCGUUGCAUGCUCGGAACGCCCCAAUAAUUACUGUGCUAUUCAGCUUUGGGACUCAUGACCCUUUACCUGUUUGUGUCUUUAACUGAAUUUUGACUACUCUCUUUCUAACCCUCACAGAUGUAUGGUGUGGAGGAGACUCUCUGUGGGGCCACUCCAGAGGCAAGCCGGCCAACGCCGAGCAUGAAUCUGAUGUGUCGAUGUGGAGGAGAUACAACGCUCUCUGUUGGGCCACUUCUUUGAGCUGAUCCAUCCAGAGUCAGGCCAACGCCGAGCAGAUGAAUAUGAUGUAUCGGUGUGGAGGAGACUCUCUGUGGGGCCACUCCAGAGGCAGGCCGGCCAACGCCGAGCAUGAAUCUGAUUAGACUCUCUCCAUGGUGGACCAUCUGCAGAGGCAGGCCAGCAUGGAAUCUUUGGACAAUUAAUGAACAAUGUUGGCAAUUGCCAUAUUAUGUUUAAUUAUGUAAUUAUUGAUAAAUUGUUCAUUUGUAGUAUAUAUUGAGUAUAGGUUGAGAUACACAAACAUGAUGAGUAGCAGUAACAACCUUCAAUAUGUAA